Molecule: transfer RNA, 74 nt
Organism: Helobdella robusta
Lineage: Eukaryota; Metazoa; Annelida; Clitellata; Rhynchobdellida; Glossiphoniidae
Rfam family: tRNA
About the family: Transfer RNA (tRNA) molecules are approximately 80 nucleotides in length. Their secondary structure includes four short double-helical elements and three loops (D, anti-codon, and T loops).
Source: Rfam
GGCCCGUUAGCUCAGUUGGUUAGAGCGUCGUGCUAAUAACGCGAAGGUCGUGGGUUCGAUCCCCCCACGGGCCA